AAUGAAUAUAGCCAUGUGAAGGGCACUUUAUCAUCUCAAUAAAUAUAGCUAUGAUGACUACCUCAAAGGUACUGUAUCAUCUUGAUGAAUAUAGUCAUGAGAAGGGUACUUCAUCAUCUCGAUGAAUAUAGCCAUGAUGACUAUCUCGAAGGUACUUCAUCUUUGAAUGAAUAUAGCCAUGAGAAGGAUGCUUCAUUUGCUAACAUGAAUAUC
RNAcentral lists this long non-coding RNA (213 nucleotides) under Elaeis guineensis (African oil palm). RNAcentral's name for it is "long non-coding RNA (EGUI_LNC038502)". Lineage: Eukaryota; Viridiplantae; Streptophyta; Magnoliopsida; Arecales; Arecaceae. The record is from RNAcentral.